GCCUUGCUAUGAUGGUGUCUUUUCCGUGUACACUCCCCCUCACAUUGUAUUAAUCAAUUUCUCCUAUCUAUAGAUUUCGCACGUCAUUCAUCACAACUGCCUUAUCUGAACGUGUGGUGGGCUGAGGAACGUUUAAAUAUCGUACUUGUAGCCUCAGAUCACUCGCAAGAUACAAGACAAAGAGGGACACGCAAGAUUUACACGAGGUAUGAAUUUUGAAAAUAGUAGCUUAUAGUUGUUUUUCAUAUGCGUUCGGUUAGUAUACAUCAAUUAUCAAUCCACAGCUUUCGGUUAGCAUAUUAACGGCCUGCUUUCUACUUCAACCGUAUAUCGCGCAACGUGUCGUAGCUUUUUCUUUUGUAUUACAGUUCCCAUUUCCAAAAACUUAUCACAGUCAUAGAAAAUUUGUUGUAAGAACACAUGAAAAUUUAUCAUAUGCAUGGAGAACUUGCUUGAUCGUAACCAGUUUAAUUGAAAAACAUGUUUUGAAAAAACAUUCAGAGACAACUGUUCCGCCUUCAAAUCUUCAUGUUUACCCAAUUUAAAUUAAAAACGUCAAUAUAGUAGCACAGAAUGGAUCCUUAUUUUGUGAUUGUAGUCUGACAGGGAAUUCUGCUAGAAAGGAAAUUGCAAAUGUCAGUUGAUAGCCUUCGCUUGCAAGUAUUGUAUUCUAAUAUAAUAUUUAAUCAACAUAAAUACCAGUUUCGGUAUACAUACAGUAGUGAUAGACUACUUUAUUAAAUGAGUUUCACAAAUUAUCAGAACUAUAUUUUGCAAUCAUGCAGAGUCAUAAUUCUUUGCCUUGCAUAGCCAUUAUAUCAGUAAAAAUAUCUUGAUGAUUAAAUGAAGAGAACGAAGAUUUUUUUACAAAGAUUAUUUAUAAAAUCAACUCUAUAAGCCAUUGCUGAGUUUUGAAUUGCUGCAGGACAUUAAAAAAUGUCGUCCGUCUUCGAUCUCAUUUAGAUCACAAUGUUGACAUACUCUAUCACUGUACUAAACAUUGUUGUAAUUUCAACCGGAUAUAUAUGUUUAAGGUUAUACUUAAACUGCAACUAUAUAACUAGCUUGUGGAGUUGUGGGCUUGCUUGAAAAGUACCGUUUAUGCAUGUAAAAGAGUGUUCAUGAAAUUCUGAGAUCAAAUAAUGCAGUUUAGUUUUUCAACGAGAGAGCUUUGCCUUUCGUCUCUUUAUUAAAUAAAGACGACAGACAGUGUUAUACAUUAUACCAUUGUUUGAUUUAUUUGUUGAUGUCUAGCUUGAUAUAAUUAUCAUUCUUUAAUUCUGUUCAGUUUAUGGAAUAUGCAUGGACUAUACAAAAUAAACAUCAAACACGUACAGUAUAAAAUUUGACAACUGUAAUAGUGUUGAAUGUAGAACUGAUAUAGAUCAUUACACGCAUACUGAUUAGCCGAGUGCACAUUUCAUGUUAUUUUUUUAAAUUCAUGAAUGAAAAUUAAGAUAUCAAGGGACUUAAAAUUCAAUUUCCUAGCGUCUUUUUGUGUUUGAAUUUGAAGAGUAAACAUGUUGAUCAAUUGCUGAUAAGCAAAAGCGAUAAUGAUAAUGAAAAUGUGUUUGGCAAAUUUAAAUUUUAAGAGUCACAUAAAUUAUGCAUGUCUAUUAUGUGAGAAAAAUAUAUUUUUCAAAUCGCACUGCACGUGUUAUAUUUCGUGGCGCUGUUUAAUUUAUUUUUUUCUUAAGUCUUCCGGAAGUUAGUAUGGCGUUUUCGAGGGGAAAAUCACUCCAAAAGUGUACACUUUCACGAAAAGUCUGUGAAAUUCAAUGCAAAAAUCCACUAAUAUAUAUAUCAAUACAUUUCAUAUACUGUAUAUAUAUAUAUAUAUAUAUAAUAUAUAUAUAUAUAUAUAUAUAUAUAUAUAUAUAUAUAUAUAUAUAUAUAUAUAUAUAUAUAUAUAUAUAUAUAUAUAUAUUUAUAUAUAUAUCCAGGGUGUAUCAAAAAAAAACCUGAACAGAUUUAAAAUUGCUCUCAAUUUCGCAAAACAUAUAUAUAUAUAUAUAUAUAUAUAUUUAUAUAUAUAUACAGGGUGUAUCAAAAAAAAACCUGAACAGAUUUAAAAUUGCUCUCAAUUUCGCAAAACAGCUAUUUGUAUCUGUUUUUUAUAUAUAUAGCUUCUUUGGGUACUUAUAAUGUAAAAUAAUGAAAAAAAUUUCUCGAACUCAAAUUUUUUGAACCAGGGGGUUCCAACAAACUAAAAAUGGCUUGCGCACAAAAUUUAAAUCUGCAAUCAUAUUUUGAGUUGACAGAUGGCAAAUUUGUCGGGAUUUUCAUUACUGUACAAAAUUUCAGACUAUUUGGUUUAGUUUAAGCCCGUUAACUAUUCACUCAAAGUUACAAUUUUCCCGAAAAAUCAGCUAUUUGCAUGCUUAAUUAAUACAUUUGCCUAAUUUGCAUAUGUCAGCAAUAUGCAAAAUAGGUAAAUACAUUAAUUAAGCAUGCGAAAGGCUGACUUUUUAGAACAAAAUGAAUAGUUAAAGGACUUAAACUGAACCAAAUUGUCUGAAAUUUUGUACAGUAAUUAAAAAUCCGACAAAUUUUCAAUGUAUCAACUCAAAAUAUUAUUACAGCUUUUAAAUUUUGUGCGCGAGCCAUUUUUAGUUUGUUGGAAAAGACACCCCCCCUGGUUCACAAAAUUUGAGUUCGAGAAAUUUUUUUCAUUAUUUUACAUUAGAAGUACCCAAAGAAGCUAUAUAUUUAAAAAAACAUUUUAUGAUUGGCAUGCCUCUUCUUGUAUGCUAUACGAUACUUGUUGAUAAACAUUUACUGUCAAGCGGACAUUUGUCUUUAACAUGACAGUUACACGUUUCUUUCUUUUCUGGCUCGUUCUUUUUUCGAAGCAGGUGUUGAUUGCGGUUGGAAAUAACGUUCUUGAUGUUGCUCAUGCACGAGUAGCUCACUUUCAGUACGCUGUUUCUAUUGAAGAUCUUGUAGAGGCGGGAUGUUCUGGGGAAAUGCUUGUCAAUUAGUUGAAGGAAGUUACGAGCAAUGUUCGUUUUAACAUUCUUGCUGAACGGGGGGUUGAACCAUAUAAUUUUUCUUUUCCGCCUCCUCGUCUUUGAUGAUGGUGUAUCGUCACAGUUUUCAUCAGCCGAGUAUUGUUGUAUUGUAAUUACUACUGGCGUAGUGCGUUCUGGUAGAAAGGCGCGGAUAAGUUGAAUGAAGUUUGGUCGGACGAUAAGGUGGAGAUUCGUUUGUUAAUUGCUUCCGGGAUGUGCUUUAUGACAGAAGGUGGACGAUUUGAACGACUGUCUACAUAGAGGGGAUCGUUGUUCGGUUUUCGGUAUGGGGAGAAUGUUUCUUCUUGCAGAUUCAAUGUAAUGUCAAGAAAGUUAACGAUGUGAUUGUUAUAAACAUUCACAUCGUUAACGUUAAUAGUAACGAUGUGAUUCACUGAGUUGAGCAAACUCUCAUGCAAACUCUCGCUUCUCAACUUUGACUGAGUUAAGGAAACUCUCAUACAAACUCUCGCUUCUUAACUCUCAUCAACUCCCAUACAACUCUUGUUCUCGUUUGACUGAGGAGUUAACGAUGUGAUUGUUAUAAACAUUCACAUCGUUAACGUUAAUAGUAACGAUGUGAUUCACUGAGUUGAGCAAACUCUCAUGCAAACUCUCGCUUCUCAACUCAAACUCUCAUGCAAACUCUCGCUUCUCAACUUUGACUGACUUAUCAACUCAUUAACUCUCAUGCAACUCAGCUUGUUCUCGUUUGAUCGUGGCUUGAAAGUUGAGAAAACUCUCAUCGGCAUGCAUGAUGCAAACUCUCGCUUCUCAACUCUCAUGCAACUCUUGUUCUCGUUUGACAAUUUAGGGAUUAAGAGAUAACUGUAUAAACAUAGCGCGUGAAGUCAUUGUUUAGUCAUCAUAUACAAACCAUGAACGUUUACCAAAUACUUAACAUGAUAAACAUUCGUGUCAUUUCAUGAAUAUUUAAAAUUUCAAACUGUUUGUUUUGUUCAAGUUGUUUUCGAAAAAUUUCUAUCGAAGAAUCGGUGUUUUUAGUACUUUGCAGCUGCAAUCUCGUAUCCCGUUGUGACAGCUAGACCGGUCUUUAAAUAUGAACAAAUAUCGCCUUCUCUUACAGUUGUUCGGGUGUUUGUCGAAAGUGCAACAGCGUUCGUGAAGCGUGGAUGAGAGUAUACAAUAGCGAGAGCUUUCGUCUGCGACAAAGCAAGUUCGAUUUCAGUGUUUCAACGUUUUCAAGGUGAGUUUUAAGUUGUCGGGGACAU
RNAcentral lists this long non-coding RNA (4243 nucleotides) under Paramuricea clavata. Lineage: Eukaryota; Metazoa; Cnidaria; Anthozoa; Malacalcyonacea; Plexauridae. The record is from RNAcentral.